Long non-coding RNA from Mus musculus (house mouse), 3940 nucleotides. RefSeq annotates it as RIKEN cDNA 5730552O08 gene. Lineage: Eukaryota; Metazoa; Chordata; Mammalia; Rodentia; Muridae. The transcript has 2 exons. The record is from RefSeq and is marked validated.
GGAAUGUUAUACCUCAAAAUCAGGUGAAUGCUAUAAUCAGAGAUGAAUGGGGGCCAUUCUACUAGGCAUAUGGAAGACAAUAUGCUAAGAGGUGUGCAGGCAUGGAAGCAUAGCUCAAGAGGUGUCAGAGGAGAACAAUACUGGCAACUGGGCUAGGGACCAUUCUUGGGAUACUUUGGCAAAGACUGUUGCUUUCUGCCCUAAGCAUUUACCUGACACACACACAAAAAAUGAAAAGUAAUGGACUGAUUUUUUUGGUGAAGAUGUCAAGACAGUCUAAUAUUGGCUCUAUUACGUGGCCAUAUCUAUUAGUCAUCUCGUUUAUGUAGGUCUACAAUAGAAGAAGAGCAAGUAGGGCAAACAGAAAAACGAAAUGUAAAGUUAGAGGAGAAAAAGGGCACCCGGAAAUCUCACGUCGGAGGCAAGGCUUGUGCUCAAAAGAAAUAAGGAAUCAGGACACGGCCUGAUCCACAUUGGUAUCAAGAGAGAGGCACCCUCUGGGCAAGAUUCCACCCAGAUAAUCUCACGAUUUGUGAAAACAAGAAGCCUAGGAAAUUUCAUGCUGCUUGUCUUAGUCAGGGUUUCUAUUCCUUCACAAAACAUCAUGACCAAGAACCAAGUUGGGGAGGAAAGGGUUUAUUCAGCUUACACUUCCACAUUGCUGUUUAUCACCAAAGGAAGUCAGGACUGGAACUCAAGCAGGUCAGGAAGCAGGAGCUGAUGCAGAGGCCAUAGAGGGAUGUUCCUUACUGGCUUGCUUCCCCUGGAUUGCUCGCUCAGCCUGCUUUCUUAUAGAAUCCAGGACUACAAGCCCAGGGAUGGCACCACCCACAAGGGGACCGUCACAUGUUGAUCACUAAUUGAGAAAUUGCCUUACAGCUGGAUCUCAUGGAGGCAUUUCCUCACCUGAAGCUCCUUUCUCUGUGAUAACUCCAGCUGUGUCAAGCUGACACACAAAACCAGCCAGUUCACUGCUGAAGAACGGUAACGAAUCAAUUACACAUAAGUCAAGGAGGCCAGGCUUCAUCCCAAGAGGCAGCCAAACCUGGCAGCGUUGUCCACGUGGUUCUGGCUCUAGAGUCGUGAAAUACAGGAGUAAAGGAGCUGUGGAAUCUCUACCGGAGGUUAAGAAGAGCCACCAAAGCCAGGUGUGUAGCAGACGAAUCCCCGCACGGAGGCCCCGGGAAGCCUUUGAGUGAGGCUUUGAGAGUGAAGCCUGUAGGCUUUGGAGACCCUAAGAUGUUAGACCUAUCAGAGCUGUGGAUAGAGCUGCAUACAGGCUUUACUAGCCCGAGAUGGAGAUCUGUCUUGCAGGCAGCAGGCUGGAAGGGGGCAGCCCUCUAAGCCCUUGGACGUCACACAGGACUUGGAGUUAGCUCCUGUGCUGUGGUCUUGCUUUGGUCCACAAAGCCUCUGCUUUCUUCACUAUGCCCCAGUUCCUCCCUUUGGAGUAGUAAUGUAUAUUCUGUGCCGUUGUAAGUUGGAAGCAAGUAGCUCACCUUUGGAAUAUCUGGGGGUUGCGAUUAAGAGAUGGCCUUGGGAUUCAGAAGAGACUUGGGCUUUUAAACAGUUAAGACUGUAAGAGACUGUGUGGACACUUUUGAAGUUGGACUAAAUGCAUUUUGCAUUAUGAGAUGUGCCUAGCCUAUGGGGGCCAGGAAGUGGAAUGUGGUGGUUUGGAUGAGAGUGGCUCCCUUUGACCCAACCUCUGAGGGUCAGCAAGCUGCAGUGGCUAUGGCCUUUAUAGGGCAGUCAGCAUCAGAUAUUAAGAAAAAGUUACAGCGGCUAGAAGGGUUGCAGGAUUAUACCUUGCAGGAUGUGGUUAAGGAGGCAGAGAAAGUGUUUCAUAAGCGGAAGACUGAGGGAGAGAAGUGAGAAAAAGAGAAAUAAGAGGCAAAAGAAAGAGAAGACAGGAGGGAUCAUAGACAAAAGAGAAAUUUGACUAGAAAUUUGGCUGCAGUGGUAGGAGGAAAAAAAAAAGACAGGACCUAGACAGAUAGGGAACUUGGGCAACAGAAAACCAAGGAUGAGUAAUGAUGGACAGAGGCGCCCCUUGGAUAAAGACCAAUGUGCUUGUUGCAAAGAAAAAGGCUCAGCCGCGUCAGACUGAAGUUACUUAUUUGGGAUACACCCUUCAAGACGGGAAGCGGUGGCUAACGGAAGUCAGAAAAAAGACUGUAACUCAGAUCCCCACCCCAACUACACCAAGAGCCUUUUGUUGACUGAACGAGUGACCUUCGCUCCCCCUGCUGUCCUCAAGCCCGCUACCCUACUGCCUGAGACGGAUGACUCUUCACCUACUCAUCACUGCGCUGACAUUCUGGCAGAAGAAACUGGUACUUAAAUGAUCUGAAGGAUCAGCCUUGGCCUGGGCGUCGGAGCUGGUCCACGGAUGGCAGUAGCUUCGUGGUUGAAGGUUAGCGGAAGGCGGGGGCAGCAGUGGUGGACGGGAAGCAAGUGAUCUGGGCCAGCAGCCUCCCUGAAGGGACGUCGGCCCAGAAAGCCGAACUUGUGGCUUUGAUACAAGCUCUACGAAAGGCAGAGGGGAAGUCUAUCAACAUCUACACUGACAGCAGGCCCUUGAGGUAGUGAUACGCCAAGCCUGGGAACAACUGAAAGAGGCCUAUGAGACUGGGAGUCUGGACUUGUCCCACCAGUUCCAGGUCAGAGACGCCAUCCUAGUCCGAUGCCAUUGAGUGGGAAAUCUGGAACCUCACUGGAAAGGACCAUACUUGGUACUCUUGACAACCCCUACGGCGGUGAAGGUUGAAGGUAUUUCUGCUUGGAUCCAUGCCUCCCACAUGAAGCAGGCCCCAGAGCCAUCUAAAGAUGAGUUUGACAAGUGCCCAACCCAUUUUCGGAGAGAGCCUGUCUCUUUGACACUAGCAGUAAUCCUGGGUCUCGGGGUAGCCGCCGGUGUUGGGACAGGCACCGCUGCCCUAAUACAGUACUUUAAUGAAUUAAGAAUUGCCAUGGAUGAAGAUUUGAGGGCCCUGGGACAAUCUAUUUCCAAGCUUGAAGAGUCUUUGACUUCCUUCUCAGAAGUAGUCUUACAGAAUAGAAGGGGAUUCGAUUUGUUAUUCUUAAAAGAGGGAGGAUUAUGCGCUGCUCUCAGAGAAGAGUGUUGUUUUUAUGAAGACCAUUCAGGAGUAAUUAAAGACUCCAUGAGUAAACUUAAAGAGAGAUUAGACAAAAGACAGAGACAGAGACAGAGAGAGAGAGAGAUGCAUCAGGGAUAGUUUGAAAAUUGGUUUAGUAGAUGUCCUUGGAUGACUACUUUGAUAUCUACCCUUAUGGGACCCCUUUUGAUUUUGCUUCUGCUUUUAAUUAUAGGUCCAUGUAUAUUAAAUAAGUUAGUUACCUUUAUUAGAGAAAGAGUGAGUGCUGUUCAGAUUUUGAUGUUACGUCAUGCUUUAGAAAGUCAAGAAAAGCUGAGCAGUGGUGACGCAUGCCUUAGAUCCCAGCACUUGGGAGGCAGAGGCAGGCGGAUUUCUGAGUUUGAGGUCAGCCUGGUCUACAGAGUGAGUUCCAGGUCAGCCAGGGCUACACAGAGAAACCUUGUCUCGAAAAAAAAAAAGGUCAAGAAAAUCAAUAUUAUGAAGGUACUGAAAUUUAGUUCUAUGAUUAGAACUAGCCACUAGAAAAAGUGGGAAAUGUAAGGUAGAAGAUUUAAGUUUGACCCCCUAGUCCAGUUGGAGCCAAGAAAAAUAGUUGGGCCCCGAAGCAGCCUGUUCCAGAAACUUGGCUGGCCACACCCUGUUCCAGGAGCUUGGCUGAGCACAAAAGUUAGAUUAAAAUCUUGAGAACAAUCUUGGGUUGUGGCUUUUUCCUUUAAAUACCCCCUUUCCCAACUACUCGGGGCCGAACUCCUCUACCCGUGUGUGGGAUACAAGUCGGCCCCAGCAUGCUGGUUCCUAUCAAUAAACCGCAUGUAAUUGUA